Molecule: ribosomal RNA, 784 nt
Filed under: uncultured bacterium
Lineage: Bacteria
Description: bacterial SSU rRNA
Rfam family: Bacterial small subunit ribosomal RNA
Source: RNAcentral
AGAGUUUGAUCCUGGCUCAGAACGAACGUUGGCGGCGUGGAUUAGGCAUGCAAGUCGAACGAAUCCCUGGGGGCUUGCUCCCAGGGGGAAGUGGCGAAAGGGGCAGUAAUGCGUGGGUAACCUACCCCGGGGACCGGGAUAGCCGUCCUAACGGACGGGUAAUACCGGGCGAUGUGGCGAGGGGACAUCCCCAUGUCACGAAAUGAGUUUCGCCUCGGGAGGGGCUCACGUGGUAUUAGCUUGUUGGUGGGGUAACGGCCCACCAAGGCCAAGAUGCCUAGCGGGUGUGAGAGCACGACCCGCGCCACUGGCACUGAGACACUGGCCAGACUCCUACGGGAGGCUGCAGUCGAGGAUCUUCGGCAAUGGGCGCAAGCCUGACCGAGCGACGCCGCGUGUGCGAUGAAGGCCUUCGGGUUGUAAAGCACUGUCGAGGGGGAGGAAAGCCCGCAAGGGCCUGACCUAUCCCUGGAGGAAGCACGGGCUAAGUUCGUGCCAGCAGCCGCGGUAAGACGAACCGUGCGAACGUUGUUCGGAUUCACUGGGCUUAAAGGGCGCGUAGGCGGGCGGUCAAGUCAGGGGUGAAAUCUUUCGGCUCAACCGGAAAAGUGCCUUUGAUACUGGCCGUCUCGAGGGAGGUAGGGGCAUGCGGAACUUCCGGUGGAGCGGUGAAAUGCGUAGAUAUCGGAAGGAACGCCGGUGGCGAAAGCGGCGUGCUGGACCUCUUCUGACGCUGAGGCGCGAAAGCCAGGGGAGCAAACGGGAUUAGAUACCCCUGUAGUCC